GGACGGUGAAGAUAGAAAGAUAGCGCCAGCCCACACUUGCCUCUCUGCGGACGUAGACUUCUGCGGUCCCAGAGAGUUCUGCCAGGGGAGGAUUAGCUCCCCGGCGCUGGAGGGGAGUAAAGCACUUUCGCAAGAGCCUCGCAUUUGCAUGCGCUCCCAGCCCAGACCCUUGGGUGGAGAAUUGGCCUUGCCAAUGCGGUGCUGGAGGCCAGCACUUGGGCAGGGGACCCGGGCGCUUUGUUUCUUUUGCCCAGAACUGGAAGAGGCCCAUUUGAUCUGGGAGGGAGGAAGAGACAUCAGCAAAGAGGGGGAUUAGGAGAGGGUGGCCCUUGUGCUGUGACAGGAGAGGCUAAUUCCAUGCUUUGUUGUCCUAAGACACAGUGCUGCUUCUGAACUAAUGAGACUCAGUUGCUUGGUUGUUCACAGGGAGACCACAGCCUGUGGACAGCAGAGGCAGAGCCCAGAUGUCCUCCAACCUCAUGAAAAAUCAGAAGUGGGCAGAGGAAAUUUGAUUAAUCUCCAAGGAGUACUUGGUCCUGCUUCACAAUGGGAGAUGGUUGAACAGGUGGAGCUUCAACUAUUAGCUACAAAAGAUUGAAAAUCAUAUUGGUCCAACAUACAUGUUAGAUUUGUAAGUAACAGUGCAUUUAAUUACAUGUCACCGUCUAACCCUGCUAUAUUAGAACAGAACUCUCUGAUUAAGGUAUGCUUCAAGGCUCAGAAGGAAUAUGAACGUGAAAAGUGGAAAGACCUAAGGCUUAGUGUAAAAUCCCUGAAUUAAGACCUGACCUUCCUAUUUACCGGCUGCUUAAAAUGUGGACAAGUGUCAAGUCUGGAAUUUCCUUUAUGUUUGCAAAAGGAUAGAAACAAAAUCCUUCCUUAGGCAUCCAUGAAGAUCACUUUAUAAACUGCCACUCCAGCGAGAUAGGCCUUAAACUGCUUGACAACAAAAGCUAUUUACUUAUCUAAUAUGUCUAUGUAUUCUCAUAAUUCUUUGACAAUAAAAAUACGAAUUUUUGCAAUUAUUUUUCCCCAUUGUCAUUUAAAGUCCACUUCAUCAGAGUCAGUAGAGACUGGCUGAGUAAACUUGCUUUGUGAAGUACAGUGGUUAGCAAUGCAGCUUUUGGAAGGAGCUCUAUACGGACUGAUAGUCUUCAAGUUCUAUUAUGUGUGAAGUUUGCAAGAUAGCAUAUUACUAAUUGUAUUAAAAACAUACACAUAGUGUCAACAUACAUAUACUUCACAAAUACUGAUAGAAUAACUGUGGGAAGUUAGGUAAGAAACUAUGAGUUAUAUCAGAAGAGGGAUAUGAGGCCUAGGAAACAAGCAUUUGCAAGACAUUGUUUCUCUUAAUUAUUCAAUUACCCUGCUUCCUUCCCUCUUCCCUCUCCUCUCUUUCUUUUUUCUUUUCUUCUCCUUGUUUAACUUUUUUUGAAGUAGGUAUUACUCAUUCCAAAAAGAAAUCUGGUAAAUCGUGAAGGUAAUAAUCAUAGUAUAGUUUUUAAAUCUCCUCAAAAUUCCCAUAAAAAGGACAAAACAAAUAUGAUUGUAAAACAAAACAAAAUGAGUGCCAAAUUCUUUACUAAAAAAAGUAGGGAAAACAGCACAAAACCUCAAAAAUACAUAUAAAUGUACUGAAACAAGAAACAAGAACAGCAGGAAAAAAAAAAAAAACCCACAAGGUAUUCCCCAAAUCCAUGAAAUUCAGAUACCACAAGUAUUCAUUACAAAAAUGAAAAGCCAUCUCAGUAUAAAAGAUACAGAAAGGCAAUUGAAAGUGCAAUGGAAUGAAAUAGUUCUUAAUUUGUUGGCGGCUGUGAGAAGUUUGAAUUGUGAUGAAGCACUGCAGACACAAGAAUUCAUUGAGUAGUCCAUCCAAGCAUCCCUCAUGUGACAAUGUAAACAAGGUUGAGCCAAUGUCAGUGUUCACAUCCAGUGACAUCAUAGUAAAAAGCGAACAAUGUUCAGAUAUUGUUCCUACAAAUGAUGAAUUUACACUAGAACCUGCCUUCAAAAUAUAAAACUUG
This 2027-nucleotide long non-coding RNA is filed under the name Cavia porcellus (domestic guinea pig). RNAcentral describes it as "lncRNA (ENSCPOG00000039940.1)". Lineage: Eukaryota; Metazoa; Chordata; Mammalia; Rodentia; Caviidae. The record is from RNAcentral.